AAAGUUUUAGUAUAAAAUAGUAUAAUCUAUUGUCAAUAGAUAGGUAUAAACUUUA
RNAcentral lists this transfer RNA (55 nucleotides) under Caenorhabditis sp. RNAcentral's name for it is "tRNA-Asp". Lineage: Eukaryota; Metazoa; Nematoda; Chromadorea; Rhabditida; Rhabditidae. The record is from RNAcentral.